This 99-nucleotide ribosomal RNA is filed under the name uncultured bacterium. RNAcentral's name for it is "partial 16S ribosomal RNA". It matches the Rfam family "Bacterial small subunit ribosomal RNA", at positions 1383 to 1482 of the family's 1533-position model. The record is from RNAcentral.
UUACACACCGCCCGUCACACCAUGGGAGCGGUUCCACCAGAAGUAGUUAGCCUAACCGCAAGGAGGGCGACUACCACGGUGAGAUUCAUGACUGGGGUG